CCUAAUGACCUCAUUUUACCUUAACUCCCUCUUUAAAGACCCUAUGUGUAAAUACAGUCACAUUCUGAGGGACUGGGGGUUAUGACUUCAACAUGGGAAUUUCAGAGGGACACAGCUCAGCCCAAAAUACUGACCAGGAAUGGAUCAAUUUGGUGGCUCUUUGAAUAACCAUACAGAGAGAUUCCAAGUGACAGUGCGUGCAGUAAUCACACAGUACCUGCCUGGUUGAUAUGCCUGAAGGAUGAAAGGAAAUGCAGAUGAGAGAAAAAUGAUUCCAGCUAAUACACCCACUUAUCAAAUUGUACCUCCCCAGUGGAUAUGCUCUAGGGCGAAAAGGAAAUGCAGAGAGCUAUUUAUCCUUCCUGGUGCUAGGUGUUCUGCAGAAGCCGCGGGACACCUUGGCUCAGACUGACAGAGGUAAGGCAUUUUAGACGUAGAACAUAGACUUCAUGCAUCCAGGAGCUAGAUCCAAUCUUUCUCACGCCCUUAAACAUUAAGGGAGAUAAACAGUCAUCCGAACUUAUCCCAGUUUCUGUCUAGAGGUGGAUGGAGGAGCUGGGCUAGAAGUUUAUGCUAUAAUUUAUGCCCUGUGUUCCCUUGGGCCCAAUCAUGGAUCCUUCAUUCCUGGUAAUCUUUCCUUUGCUCCUGGCCCUGUCAACACCUUGCAAUGCUUGUGAUUGUAAAAUUCAGCACCCUCAGACAUAUUACUGCACAUCAGAUGUCGUCAUAUUAGCUGAUAUACAAGGACCAGGAAACAACACCGUGACAAAACAAGGUUUCAGAGUCAAUGUCAUUAAGGUAAACUCAGUACCUCCUUUCUUCUUACCUCCUUUUCUCAAAAUAAGCAAGACUAUCUGCUCUUGCUGAGAGAUUUGGAUGGUUUCUGGAGCCUAGCAACUUCUAUGUAAACCUAAGGUCCUAGUCACUCUUUCCCUCCCAUUGCAGGUACUCAAGGCUCCCAGAGGCAUCCCAACAAUCCACGAGAUCUACUCACCCAUCAGUUGGAAAGACUGUAGUUAUAGGCUGAGGACCACUCAACAAUCACUAUUACUUAUCGCAGGCUAUCUGAGCGGGGGCACAUUGUGCUUCACAAGAUGCCAUCUGGUCUAUUUCUGGUACCGGCUCACCAGAGAGCAGAGGCUAGGUUUUGAGGCAGCAUACAGAACAGGAUGCAAAUGUCAAGUGAGUAGACACCCUGGUGAUUUUUCUCUGCAGCCCAGGCACUGCUCUUGUCCCAUGUCCUUGUUCCCAGAUCUUCCUCCCUGCUGUCUCCCUCUGGAUGACCCUUGCUCUUUCACCUUCCUUCCAUUCCCUGACCUCUUCCCACUGUUUCCUUUCUGUCCUUUCCCUCCUCACUGCUCCCUUUAGCCUCUCCUUGUUGACAGACCCUUGUUGCCCUUGUCGGUCCAGGACGGAGUGUAUGAACAGCAAGUGGGCAGUUCUGUAUCUCCCUCCACACCUAGGUUCAGCCCUGCCUCCACUGCUGGCAUUCCUGCCCUCAACCUGACUUUGGAGAGUGUGUGUGGAAACAAAAAGACUGUAACUACAAGGUAUGGGAAGGAAACCAUUCCUUGUUCUCCAUGUGUGUGCCCUCCAUGAAUGGGUACUGUGAAUGGACCCGCAUCCAGAUGAACUAUCCGUACCAAACCUCGGCUCCAGCAACCUCUGUUCACUAGGCCCGGAAUCAUAUAAUAGAGUUUAAUAUUCUGUCUCCUGGUCUGGCUGCUGUUAACAGAACUGAGUUAGUUUUGUACACCUCCACUAAAUUGUACACUUAAGUUUUGUUUACUUUCUGUAAGUAGUGUACGCAUCAAUAAAACUUACAAAAACAAAUCCCAAGUUGAUAAACCACCCUGAUGACAAAUUCCCUUUAUCUUCUCUGCUCAUCAAUUAUCUUUUAUUUCUUCUUCAUCCAGCAACCUCAUGCCAGACUCUAAUCCUUCUUAUUCCACAUUCCUGACAUUUCCUCAUCCUCUCAAAGCAAGAGCCCUGGGUCCAAACAAAGGGACAGAUCCAGAUCCAAUCUGACCAAGGUCACACUCCACCUGACACACCCUUAACCUUCCCCAGAUGAUUUGCAGAACCAUAAAUCACAGGAGAAAGGAUAUUCCUUGUUCCCACAGAAUUAAGACUCACUUGCAAAUAUAAACAUUGUUCCUUG
This is a long non-coding RNA of Acinonyx jubatus (cheetah), 2161 nucleotides long. RefSeq lists it as uncharacterized. NCBI's taxonomy places the organism in Eukaryota, Metazoa, Chordata, Mammalia, Carnivora, Felidae. The record is from RefSeq and is a predicted model, not a curated record. The transcript is spliced from 3 exons.